RNAcentral lists this ribosomal RNA (477 nucleotides) under uncultured bacterium. RNAcentral's name for it is "bacterial SSU rRNA". It matches the Rfam family "Bacterial small subunit ribosomal RNA", at positions 56 to 507 of the family's 1533-position model. The record is from RNAcentral.
UGCAGUCGACGAGAACACCUUAGCUUGCUAGGGUAAGUAAAGUGGCGCACGGGUGAGUAACGCGUGGGUAAUCUACCUUCGAAUUGGGGAUAACGUUGCGAAAGCGACGCUAAUACCGAAUAACAUCCAUUAAUCUUGGGGUUUUUGGAUCAAGGAUGGCCUCUACUUGUAAGCUAUUGUUUGAAGAUGAGCCCGCGUACCAUUAGCUUGUUGGUGGGGUAAUGGCCCACCAAGGCAACGAUGGUUAGCUGGUCUGAGAGGAUGAUCAGCCACACUGGAACUGACACACGGUCCAGACUCCUACGGGAGGCAGCAGUGAGGAAUUUUGCGCAAUGGGCGAAAGCCUGACGCAGCAACGCCGCGUGAGUGAUGAAGGCUUUCGGGUCGUAAAGCUCUGUCAAGUGGGAAGAACCUGCAGUAUGUUAAUAUCAUAUUGCACUGACGGUACCACUGAAGGAAGCACCGGCUAACUCCGUG